This 73-nucleotide transfer RNA is filed under the name Candidatus Kerfeldbacteria bacterium. Its description in RNAcentral is "tRNA-Lys". It matches the Rfam family "tRNA". Rfam says of the family: Transfer RNA (tRNA) molecules are approximately 80 nucleotides in length. Their secondary structure includes four short double-helical elements and three loops (D, anti-codon, and T loops). Lineage: Bacteria; Candidatus Kerfeldiibacteriota. The record is from RNAcentral.
GGGUCGUUAGCUCAGGUGGUAGAGCAAUUGCCUUUUAAGCAAAUGGUCGCUGGUUCGAGUCCAGCACGACCCA